RNAcentral lists this ribosomal RNA (435 nucleotides) under uncultured Oscillospiraceae bacterium. Its description in RNAcentral is "partial 16S ribosomal RNA". It matches the Rfam family "Bacterial small subunit ribosomal RNA", at positions 341 to 792 of the family's 1533-position model. The record is from RNAcentral. Lineage: Bacteria; Bacillati; Bacillota; Clostridia; Eubacteriales; Oscillospiraceae.
ACGGAAGGCAGCAGUCGGGAAUAUUGCGCAAUGGAGGAAACUCUGACGCAGUGACGCCGCGUGCAGGAAGAAGGUUUUCGGAUUGUAAACUGCUUUAGACAGGGAAGAUACAAGACAGUACCUGUAGAAUAAGCUCCGGCUAACUACGUGCCAACAGCCGCGGUAAUACGUAGGGAGCAAGCGUUAUCCGGAUUUAUUGGGUGUAAAGGGUGCGUAGACGGAGAAGCAAGUUGGUUGUGAAAUCCCUCGGCUUAACUGAGGAACUGCAACCAAAACUACUUCCCUUGAGUGCUGGAGAGGAAAGUGGAAUUCCUAGUGUAGCGGUGAAAUGCGUAGAUAUUAGGAGGAACACCAGUGGCGAAGGCGACUUUCUGGACAAUAACUGACGUUGAGGCACGAAAGUGUGGGGAGCAAACAGGAUUAGAUACCCUGGUA